UUUUUAAUUCUAUUUCUACUGCAGAGUGUUGACCUAGAUUAACUCUUUUCUUCACAUGUGUAUCUUCAAAGUCAUCUUUAAAAUUAUGGGGUCAUGAAUGUAUUCACCAGGAUUGAGCCCUUGGUGCUGUUUUAGUAAGUAUUGCUAUCUCAACCCCACAAAUUACACCAACUGACCUUUCCCCUCUCCUUCCCUCCCCUCCCCUGCCUUGUGCCCAAGCCACUGCAUGAGGGGCCUGAGCGAGGGGCUCCAACCAGAGCAAGCCCUGACACUCCCCCGUGCCAACCUUGUGCAGAUCCUGGUGCUCGCCCGCCAGCCCUACCUCAUCCCAGGUCCCAGGACUCCUGGGUCAGAUGGCUCACGUGGGAAUCCAGUUGGUGUGCUAUAUUGCCAGGCAUCUCCAGACAGCUGAGGCUCAGAGAGCACAGGCCUGGGGCUGUCCUAUCUGGUGGACGGGUUUCUGAGCAGGUGGACAUGCUGGGCCUUUCCAGUACAAGAGCUUGAUUAAAGAAAGCUCACAGGGUGGGAAUUUAUUAGAGAUACUAGCAGAGACGUUCCUUUGAGAUACCCAUACCUCAUAUGGCAUAUAGAGUCUUCACUCAUAUGCACGCCCUCAUCUUUCCUUAGGGGUGCCAGCAGUUCCUGUGUGUAACCAGUAUAUGUCAGGGUAACUGGUCCUGGACCCAGGGAGGCGGUGGUAACUGGGGCCUUCUUUAAAAUAUGCGGUAGAAUGGAAGGAUUUGUGGACGUUGUGGGUCCUUCCCAGGAAUGGUACAUUCCUCAAGGUCAUUAGUUGCAAAUCCAUCACAAGUUCUUUUUUUUUUUUUUUUUUUGUUUUUUGUUUUUUUGAGGCAGAGUUUCGCUCUUGUUGCCCAGGCUGGAGUGCAAUGGCGCAAUCUUGGUUUACCACAACCUCCGCCUCCCAGAUUCAAGUGAUUCUCCUGCCUCAGCCUCCCGAGUAGCUAAGAUUACAGGCAUGUGCCACCACACCCAGCUAAUUUUGUAUUUUUAGUAGAGACAGGAUUUCCCCAUGUUGGUCAGGCUGGUCUCGAACUCCCAACCUCAGGUGAUCUACCCACCUUGGCCUCCCAAAGUGCUGGGAUUACAGGUGUGAGCCACCGCACCCAGCCCACAAGUUCUAAUCCGUAUGGAAUUGUUUUCUUUUUCCUUCCCAUGAAGACCUUCAGUGGGAUAAGCCAAGAGGCUGGGGACUGCCAUGAGACUUAGAAGGGACACCCCAGAGCCUGGUGCUGUCUCUAGCUCCUCAUGCAGACUCUCCUCCUCUCCUCCAGGACUCACUGCAGGGAAUGGGCUCUGGGGAGGCAUGAUGAAGAGGCCACUUCAGGAUAUGUUGAGUCUGAAGUGCCCUUGAGACCUCCAGGUGGUGACAUAGAGGAUCUUCAGGGUCAGAGGAAAGGUGGCUUUAGGCAUAAUUAGCAUGAGGAUAGUGAAUCGAAAUGACAGGUGUAGGGAUGUACAUGGGUCUGUGGACAUGGGUGGGUGAGGGGCCAGGGCUGACAGGUGUGGACAUGGAUGGGUGAGGGGGCAGGGCUGACAGGUGUGGGUGUGGGUGGGUGAGGGGGUAGGGC
Non-coding RNA from Chlorocebus sabaeus (green monkey), 1589 nucleotides. Lineage: Eukaryota; Metazoa; Chordata; Mammalia; Primates; Cercopithecidae. The record is from RefSeq and is a predicted model, not a curated record.